This is a non-coding RNA of Hordeum vulgare subsp. vulgare (domesticated barley), 122 nucleotides long. The record is from Rfam. NCBI's taxonomy places the organism in Eukaryota, Viridiplantae, Streptophyta, Magnoliopsida, Poales, Poaceae.
GUAUUACUCCCUCCGUCCGGAAAUACUUGUCGGAGAAAUGGAUGUAUCUAGACGAUUUUAGUUCUGAUACAUCCAUUUUUAUCCAUUUUCCGACAAGUAUUUAUGGAAGGAGGGAGUAUAUA